This is a long non-coding RNA of Myotis daubentonii (Daubenton's bat), 180 nucleotides long. RefSeq lists it as uncharacterized. The record is from RefSeq and is a predicted model, not a curated record. NCBI's taxonomy places the organism in Eukaryota, Metazoa, Chordata, Mammalia, Chiroptera, Vespertilionidae.
UAUGUUUAGAAAUAUAGUAGCCAUAAUCUGAAUGGUGGUGGCAAUUACUAAGUUCCCAAAGUUAUAUCCUUAACACCUUGCCAAGUAUAUAUCAGGGUGAUGGUAAAGCAAAUCUUGUCCUUUUUUUAAAUAGGUAAAAACUGUAAAACCAUGUAUAAUAAAAGUAACUUUUAAGUCUCA